GUCGAGGGGCAGCACGGGAGUAGCAAUACUUGGUGGCGACCGGCGCACGGGUGAGUAACGCGUAUGCAACCUACCUAUCAGAGGGGAAUAACCCGGCGAAAGUCGGACUAAUACCGCAUAAAACAGGGGCACCGCAUGGUGAUAUUUGUUAAAGAAAUUCGCUGAUAGAUGGGCAUGCGUUCCAUUAGGUAGUUGGUGAGGUAACGGCUCACCAAGCCGACGAUGGAUAGGGGAACUGAGAGGUUGGUCCCCCACACUGGUACUGAGACACGGACCAGACUCCUACGGGAGGGCAGCAGUGAGGAAUAUUGGUCAAUGGGCGGGAGCCUGAACCAGCCAAGUCGCGUGGAAAAGGAAGAAGGAUCUAUGGUUCGUAAACUUCUUUUGCAGGGGAAUAAAGUGCAGGACGUGUCCUGUUUUGUAUGUACCCUGAGAAUAAGGAUCGGCUAACUCCGUGCCAGCAGCGGC
This 468-nucleotide ribosomal RNA is filed under the name uncultured bacterium. RNAcentral describes it as "bacterial SSU rRNA". It matches the Rfam family "Bacterial small subunit ribosomal RNA", at positions 61 to 518 of the family's 1533-position model. The record is from RNAcentral.